CCUACGGGGGGCAGCAGUGGGGAAUUUUGGACAAUGGGGGCAACCCUGAUCCAGCCAUGCCGCGUGCGGGAAGAAGGCCUUCGGGUUGUAAACCGCUUUCGGCCGGAACGAAAUCGCCGGGGAGAACAUCCCCGGUGGAUGACGGUACCGGAAGAAGAAGCACCGGCUAACUACGUGCCAGCAGCCGCGGUAAUACGUAGGGUGCGAGCGUUAAUCGGAGUUACCGGGGGCGAUGCGCGAGCACAGGUGUGGAAUCCCCGGGCUUAACCUGGGAACUGCGUUUGUGACUGGCGGGCUGGAGUGCGGAAGAGGGAGGUGGAAUUCCACGUGUAGCAGUGAAAUGCGUAGAGAUGUGGAGGAACACCGAUGGCGAAGGCAGCCUCCUGGUCUAGCACUGACGCUCAUGCACGAAAGCGUGGGGAGCAAACAGGAUUAGAUACCCCAGUAGUC
This 450-nucleotide ribosomal RNA is filed under the name uncultured bacterium. RNAcentral describes it as "partial 16S ribosomal RNA". It matches the Rfam family "Bacterial small subunit ribosomal RNA", at positions 338 to 795 of the family's 1533-position model. The record is from RNAcentral.